RNAcentral lists this ribosomal RNA (395 nucleotides) under uncultured bacterium. RNAcentral's name for it is "bacterial SSU rRNA". It matches the Rfam family "Bacterial small subunit ribosomal RNA", at positions 29 to 437 of the family's 1533-position model. The record is from RNAcentral.
AACGAACGCUGGCGGCAGGCCUAACACAUGCAAGUCGAACGCCGUAGCAAUACGGAGUGGCAGACGGGUGAGUAACGCGUGGGAACAUACCCCUCGGUUCGGAAUAACUCAGGGAAACUUGAGCUAAUACCGGAUACGUCCGAGGUUUUAAUCGGCCUUGGAGAAAGAUUUAUCGCCGGAGGAUUGGCCCGCGUCUGAUUAGCUUGUUGGUGAGGUAAUGGCUCACCAAGGCGACGAUCAGUAGCUGGUCUGAGAGGAUGAUCAGCCACAUUGGGACUGAGACACGGCCCAAACUCCUACGGGAGGCAGCAGUGGGGAAUAUUGGACAAUGGGCGAAAGCCUGAUCCAGCCAUGCCGCGUGAGUGAUGAAGGCCUUAGGGUUGUAAAGCUCUUUU